Molecule: ribosomal RNA, 253 nt
Filed under: uncultured bacterium
Lineage: Bacteria
Description: partial 16S ribosomal RNA
Rfam family: Bacterial small subunit ribosomal RNA
Source: RNAcentral
UACAGAGGUCCCAAGCGUUGUUCGGAUUCACUGGGCGUAAAGGGUGCGUAGGCGGUCGGGUAAGUCUGAUGUGAAAUCUCACAGCUUAACUGUGAAACUGCAUUGGAUACUAUCCGGCUUGAGGAAUGGAGGGGAGACUGGAAUACUUGGUGUAGAGGUGAAAUUCGUAGAUAUUGGGAAGAACACCAGUGGCGAAGGCGGCUCACUGGCUCGUAUCUGACGCUCAGGCGCGACAGCGUGGGGAUCAAACAGG